AUCGAUUGGGCCCCACCUGUCUGGGGAAAGUACGCGCCGCUGAGUCGCCCCUCACACAGCCCACGCGCCCUCCCGAACCCUACCUCUCUUCCCACAUUUUCUGCCGGCGGCGGCUCCCAACGCCCUCCUCUUCCCCCCGCUCUCACCCAGCCUCUCCCGGCCACUCCACCCUUCGCCCCCGGACGUUGCUCUCCUUCAUAGCCACCGGCGGAUCGGCCUCUCUCCGAGACACAACCAUGAUCCACGGGAUCCCUAGAGGUUGCGGCGGUCUGAUGCGGGAGGUGCUACGCCGGCCAUGGUCGCUGGCGGAAGGACUUUUGGAGACAGCGAUAGCUCGAAAUCUACAACGGCAGCGGCUGGACACAGGAAGGACGCUGCCGAACCUGGACACCGGCGGGGAGAACGCUGCUUUAUCAACUGCUUCGGCGGCUGCUGCUCCAUCUACUUGGUAGUGCUGCUGCAUCUCCAGCCCGUGAAAAAGGAGGUUGAGAGGAUCUACAUGACAAUCAGACCUGCCUGUGUUCAACUUCUUAUGGUACUUUUAGCUGAAGGGAAUAAAGCUUCUUCAGUGACCUUGAGCUUGGCGCUGAUUGGCUUCUAAAGAUUCAUCAAACUUUAAAACAUGUCUUGGGACAGAUUUUGGGUGUUUCUAAGCAAAGCCAUGUUUGCAUGUCGACUAACACAUCCGACAUUGCUAAGAGGGUUAUCACUCUUAGAGAUGACAGUUUCAAUGUGGAUGAUAUGUGUGGACAAAUGGACCGGCAUGGCUGCCUGGUUUCUGUGGCUGAAGAAUACAAAUACACUCCAGGAAGGUGAGUGGUGUUUGUUGCGACAUAUCUAGGGAUUGUGCUUGGGAAAAUUGGCAAACGAAGGUAUCAAUAACUUAUUACAAGGUAAAUUCAAUUUUGCUUCCUUUUUACAUGCAUAUUUGUAGUUUUGUAUAGAUUAGUAGAAAGUGGAUAUUUUUAGCUGUGUUUGGAGAUACGUACAAAUGGUUUGAUGUAACCUUCAUUAUGUCCAAAGAUUAAUUGAUAUGAUUUUUUUGUUGAUUAUUCCUGCUCAUCUAUUUCAAUUGUAAAAUAAAUAAAUAAACCGCGUUUGUAAAGAAACAUGUCAUCUAUAGAUUUAUGCUCCCUUAAAUGGCUGAUAGCCACCCGGCGUCUGCUACAGCGACGAUCUCAGCGCCUGUCUGUUGCCCUUCCUCAACAGCAACAACGACGCAGGUACAGCCUUUGCAUCAACCAUCGGAGGCGAAGAUGAGAAAGUUACCUGUUUCUUUUUUUAGGCAUCCAUCUCUCCCAUAUGAAUUGGUUGUAAGCACUGAGGAGACCCUAAUAUAGAUGGUUCUGUUUUUUGCAUGUCAUUUCGCUCGUGUUGCUUCACAUUUAAUAUUUUAAUUUCAAAUAGCUUUUUACUGAUGUCAUCCAAUUUUUUUUGUAAGCAUCCAUUCUAUAUGUUCCUAUGUAGGAGGCAAAAUUCAUAAACUUGUAUGUGCACAAAAAUAUCUUUUCCUUUCUUGCCAAGAUGUAUUAAGUGUUAGUUGUUAAUUUCCGUUCGUUUAUGAAAAUCUAGGAACACGGGAAUUGAGCUCUUGCUUCAGGUAUCAUUUCGCUCGUGUUGCUUCACAUUUAAUAGUUUAAUUUCAAAUAGCUUUUUACUGAUGUCAUCCAAUUUUUUUUGUAAGCAUCCAUUCUAUAUGUUCCUAUGUAGGAGGCAAAAUUCAUAGCUUGUAUGUGCACAAAAAUAUCUUUUCCUUUCUUGCCAAGAUGUAUUAAGUGUUAGUUGUUAAUUUCUGUUCGUUUAUGAAAAUGAUUGUUCUGCACUGCUACCCUGUCCUUUUGGUAGCACAUCAUGCCGCUGUGUUAUCCCUCGCUAAUAACACCAUGCUCAUGCACUUUGACAUUUCUUUUUGGCUAUUUAUCUAAAAGAAAGAAAGUUAAAUCAUUGAAAUCUCUAGCAUAAAUGUUACCUCCUGGUAGAAACAGUGACUGAAUGUGGGAGACAAUAACCUAAAUCAAGAUUGUUGCCUCUGCCGGGUAUAUGAUAUGAAGAUUAGAACAGUUGGACGGUAGAGGCCAGAUCAGGUAUAAUAAUGUUACUGAAAAAAGGAGAGGGUGAGCUCUUACCAGUUUCAGCAUUGAAGUACCUUGAGCUUGCAAUGUAUUCAUUUUCUGUAAUGCCUUCUGCCUAAAUUCUGAUGUUUUUCAGAUAAAUAAAUAUGCAUGGAAUGUCCAAUGUUCUGUCAUUUUCUGAUGAUUAAAUACAAACUGUCAAAUUCUAACCCCUGAUCUUGCAGCAUAAAGGUAUCAGAUCAUUACUACAAGCGCUUACUCCAUUAAUAGCUAAUAUAAGUUGUAUGUUACUGGUCCUCAGUAAUUAGCAUAGUUUCAUGUUCAGUACUUUUUGGCAUUGGGUUGUCGAACUGUUAGUGUUCCCAUUUGCAUAUUCAGUUUAGAUAUUACUUGUAUGUAGAAAUGCGUCUCUGAAUUAUGUGCAACAUGUUUUUGCUUGAUUCUUCAAUAUAAGCCAAAAAAAAUUUGCAUAUUAGUUAUUUCCGUUCUAAUUAAUAUAGUUUUAGAGCAGUGUUGUAGUCAAAUUUUGGAAUCGGGUGGGCUCAUAGACGAGACUGUUGUUGCAUUUUGGGAAUGUUUAGGUGGGAAAACCCUUUUAUGUCUGGCUCCUAAUUAAGCAAUGCAUAUAUGUCAGGCAGUUCUUGGAAAACAGAAUCCUUUGGUUGGUUGGUUGUACAGUUAAACGGCUACACUUUGUUGCGGAGUGUUACAAUAUUAAAUGUGUCCUUCAAGUGCUGGGAGUUGAACUCUCUUGGAUUUAUAAUUUAAGCAGAGUCUAUAUAAGAUAUAAAAAAUAUGAUCCCAUGCUUAUGAACAGUUUGUUCAGCUCGCAAACUUAGGGAGAAGAGAAGAUUCUCCUAUAAUGCUGAUAGUUAGAUGAGGGGUAGGAAGAGAAGGGAAAGAAGAGUGUGGAGGCCUACUCAAGCAGGCCACCCUUGACAUCUCCAUCUCCUGCAAGGCGGAGGCCAUGUCCAUAAUGAACUCGUUCAUCAACAACAUCUUUGAGGGGCUCGUCUACGAGGUUGCCGAUCGCAUCCACUACAACAAGGAGCUAACCAUCUCCUCCUAGGAGAUCCAGACCUCUAUCUGCCCCAUCCCUCUUCUCGCUGUCUAUGAGGGCACCAAGGCCGUCACUGAGUUCACCUCAUCUUAGAUUGCAUUGUUUGCAUACCUUUGUAAUUGUAGUAGCUGUUGGUAGUUUGCUUUGUUUAACUAGAAAUAUUGUUAGAGCUGAAUUGAAAAUCCUGAAUGUAUGGCAUGGUACUGAUCUGAAAUACUAAUGAUGUGGUGCUUCUUUCCGGAAACGAUUCGAUCCUGAUUAAUUUA
RNA transcript from Lolium perenne, 3398 nucleotides. RefSeq lists it as uncharacterized. The record is from RefSeq and is a predicted model, not a curated record. NCBI's taxonomy places the organism in Eukaryota, Viridiplantae, Streptophyta, Magnoliopsida, Poales, Poaceae.